GUGGGAUUGUCCAGAAAUAGAGUUCUUUCUUGAAGGAGCAUUGCCCUUCAAUUUAGAAUUCCUUCAUAUCUACAAUUGCACGAAACUGGUGAACGGCCGAAAGGAGUGGCGUUUACAUAGACUUCCCUGUCUCAGACAGUUAGUGAUCGGACAUGAUGGCAGUGACGAAGAGAUUCUUGCUGGUGAGAAUUGGGAAUUGCCUUCCUCUAUUAGAAUUCUUGUCAUAGUCAAUAUGAAAACAUUAAGCAUCCAAGUUCUCAAAAGCCUCACCUUUCUUCAAAUUCUAGCUAUUGGUGAUUUACCUCAAAUUCAGUCACUGCUGGAAGAAGGGCUUCACUCAUCUUCUUCUCUUCAAAGUCUACGCAUCUUCUCCUGCCAUCAAC
Molecule: unclassified non-coding RNA, 383 nt
Filed under: Hevea brasiliensis (rubber tree)
Lineage: Eukaryota; Viridiplantae; Streptophyta; Magnoliopsida; Malpighiales; Euphorbiaceae
Source: RNAcentral